RNAcentral lists this unclassified non-coding RNA (368 nucleotides) under Melitaea cinxia (Glanville fritillary). RNAcentral's name for it is "misc RNA ENSMCXG00005012779.1". Lineage: Eukaryota; Metazoa; Arthropoda; Insecta; Lepidoptera; Nymphalidae. The record is from RNAcentral.
GUUUUUUUUUUUUUUUUUUUUUUUUUUUUUUUAAAUAAUAUAUAUGGUUUUUUUUUUUUUUUUUUUUUUUUUUUUUUUUUUUUUUUUUUUUUUUUAUAAAUAUGAGUAUAGUGAUCUUUGUUGAUUAUACAUUUAUGUGUUUUAUUGAUUUACAGUUUUUUUUUUUUUUUUUUUUUUUUUUUUUUUUUUUUUUUUUUUUUUUUUUUUUUUUUUUUUUAUAAUAAUAUAGAUAAUAUAUUAAGUAAUCUUAAAGAACAAAAUUAAUCUUAAAAACUAUUAUAUAUUAAUAUAUCUUAUAUAGUAUUGACAAAGUAGAAUAAAAAUCAAAAAGAGGUAAUAAAAAAUAAAAAUAAAAAUGAAGAACAACA